UCCAUGUGCACUUCUUUAGAAGAAUCCCUGAAUUUAUUAAUGGAGUUGGAAAUUGUAACAGAUAUCGAACUUCCUUAAAAUCCCACUCUUUUAGAAGAACCAAAAAGGGUCAACGAAGUUUGAGGAUGAAGAUACUGGUGACCGGCGCUUCCGGUUUCCUCGGCGGACGACUUUGCCAUGCCCUACUCCGCCGCGGCCACGCCGUGCGCGCCCUCGUCCGCCGCACCAGCGAUCUCUCCUGCCUUCCUCCGACGACUUCCUCCGCCGCCGCUGGCGAGCCUCUCGAACUCGUCUACGGCGACGUAACCGAUUAUCGUUCCGUCCUUGACGCCUGCUCCGACUGCGAUGUCGUCUUCCACGCCGCUGCUCUUGUUGAGCCCUGGCUCCCUGAUCCUUCCAGAUUCUUCUCGGUCAACGUUGGGGGAUUGAAGAAUGUUUUGGAAGCUGUUAAGGAGACGAAGAGUAUUCAGAAGAUUGUUUACACGUCUUCGUUCUUCGCACUUGGGUCUACUGAUGGAUAUGUUGCUGACGAGAAUCAAGUUCACAGUGAGAAAUUCUUCUGCACGGAGUACGAGAGAUCAAAGGUUGCAGCUGAUAAGAUUGCAUUACAGGCGGCUUCAGAAGGUGUGCCGAUAGUUCUGGUGUAUCCCGGAGUUAUCUAUGGCUCGGGCAAGGUCACUUCAGGCAAUAUUGUUGCUAAGUUGAUAAUAGAGCGCUUUAAUGGGAGAUUACCUGGCUAUAUAGGCUAUGGAAAUGAUAGAUAUUCCUUCUGUCACGUUGAUGAUGUGGCAGAGGGUCACAUCGCUGCAAUGGAAAAAGGGAGGGUGGGUGAGAGAUACCUACUCACGGGGGAGAGUGGGUCGUUUAAGCUUGUGUUUGACAUGGCUGCAUUGAUUACCGGAACCAAAAAGCCACAAUUUCACAUUCCAUUGUGGGUUAUCCUGCCUUAUGCAUGGUUGUCGGUUGUGAUCUCUCGGAUCACUGGGAAGCUUCCGACCAUUAGUCCUCCGACAGUUAACGUGCUGAGACAUCAGUGGGCUUACUCUUGUAACAAGGCUACGACCGAACUGGGGUAUAAACCUAGAAGCCUCAAGGAUGGAUUGGAAGAGAUGCUCCCGUGGUUGAAGAGUUUGGGCGAAAUAAAAUACUAGCCGGUGUUGUAUAGAGCUUCUUUGUGAUGCAAUGUACAUCUUCAUCCACAAGAAUAACCAAAUGACAUGGACUUCCCCGCUCCUCUGGAAGAUGUAGUCGGGUCUUUGGUCCGGUGAAUUUCUAGAUUAUAAAAAAAAUGAACAAGUUAUGAGUAGCUGAUGAUCCAUAUGAAUGUUUCACCGGCUCCCGUGUUUCGAGUCAUGAACUCUCAGCGAUUUGGAAGAAUGCUAUCCCAAUAGAACUCCAUCUGCAGAGGUAAAUCAACGAACUACUUCCGCUUACUGGAGAAUCGGUUUGGUAGAGUUUAUGGUUGAUUUCUAGUUUUUUUUUCCUUCCAUACAUCACAUUCUCUUCUAUUGUGUAAGAAACCAGAAACCACUUAUCCUUAUCCAAGUGAUUGAUGAAAUUCAUCAAACCACAUGAUUUUGAGCA
This is an RNA transcript of Tarenaya hassleriana, 1584 nucleotides long. It is a transcript of the gene named putative dihydroflavonol 4-reductase, with no coding region annotated. The record is from RefSeq and is a predicted model, not a curated record. The transcript has 6 exons. NCBI's taxonomy places the organism in Eukaryota, Viridiplantae, Streptophyta, Magnoliopsida, Brassicales, Cleomaceae.